RNAcentral lists this ribosomal RNA (502 nucleotides) under uncultured bacterium. RNAcentral describes it as "bacterial SSU rRNA". It matches the Rfam family "Bacterial small subunit ribosomal RNA", at positions 30 to 507 of the family's 1533-position model. The record is from RNAcentral.
CGAACGUUAGCGGCGCGCCUAACACAUGACAAGUCGAACGAGAAGUUCCCUUCGGGGGACAAGUAAAGUGGCGCACGGGUGCGUAACACGUAGGCAAUCUCCCUGAGAUGGGGGAUAACCCUCCGAAAGGAGAGCUAAUACCGCGUAAGACCACAGUGACUCCGGUCACAGGGGUCAAAGCUAGCCUCUACUUGUAAGCUAGUGUCUCGGGAUGAGCCUGCGGCCCAUCAGUUAGUUGGUAGGGUAACGGCCUACCAAGGCGAAGACGGGUAGCUGGUCUGAGAGGAUGGACAGCCACACUGGCACUGAAACACGGGCCAGACUCCUACGGGAGGCAGCAGUGGGGAAUCUUGGUCAAUGGGCGCAAGCCUGAACCAGCGACGCCGCGUGAGUGAUGAAGGCCUUCGGGUUGUAAAGCUCUGUGGGAAGGGAAGAAAAAAGCCAAGUCGAAUAGGCUUGGAAAUUGACGGUACCUUCUUAGCAAGCACCGGCUAACUCUGUG